This 496-nucleotide ribosomal RNA is filed under the name uncultured bacterium. RNAcentral's name for it is "partial 16S ribosomal RNA". It matches the Rfam family "Bacterial small subunit ribosomal RNA", at positions 28 to 506 of the family's 1533-position model. The record is from RNAcentral.
GAUGAACGCUGGCGGCGUGCCUAAUACAUGCAAGUCGAGCGAACAGACGAGGAGCUUGCUCCUCUGACGUUAGCGGCGGACGGGUGAGUAACACGUGGAUAACCUACCUAUAAGACUGGGAUAACUUCGGGAAACCGGAGCUAAUACCGGAUAAUAUAUUGAACCGCAUGGUUCAAUAGUGAAAGACGGUUUUGCUGUCACUUAUAGAUGGAUCCGCGCCGCAUUAGCUAGUUGGUAAGGUAACGGCUUACCAAGGCGACGAUGCGUAGCCGACCUGAGAGGGGGUAGGGCCCACGGGAAGGUGAAACGCGGCCCAGAUCCCUAGGGGAGGCAGAGGGAGGGACUUGCCGGAAAGGGGGGAAAGCCUGCGGGAGGAACGGCGGGGGGGUGAAGAAGGUCUUCGGACGGUAAAACGCUUUUAUGGGGGAAAAAAAAAUGUGCAAGUAACUAUGCGCGUUUGAAGGGAACUUAAUAAGAAGGCCCGGGCAAACUAGGG